AACGAACGCUGGCGGCGUGCCUAACACAUGCAAGUCGAGCGCGAAUGGGGCAACCCUAGUAGAGCGGCGCACGGGUGCGUAACACGUGGAUAAUCUGCCUGGAUGCCUGGGAUAACCAGUCGAAAGAUUGGCUAAUACCGGAUAAGCCCACGGUUUCUUCGGAGACUGAGGGAAAAGGUGGCCUCUGUAUACAAGCUAUCACAACCAGAUGAGUCCGCGGCCCAUCAGCUAGUUGGCGGGGUAAUGGCCCACCAAGGCAACGACGGGUAGCUGGUCUGAGAGGACGAUCAGCCACACCGGAACUGAGACACGGUCCAGACUCCUACGGGAGGCAGCAGUGGGGAAUUUUGCGCAAUGGGCGAAAGCCUGACGCAGCAACGCCGCGUGUGUGAUGAAGGUCUUUGGAUUGUAAAGCACUUUCGACCGGGACGAAAACCCGAAGCCCAAUACGCUUCGGCUUGACGGUAC
This 468-nucleotide ribosomal RNA is filed under the name uncultured bacterium. RNAcentral describes it as "bacterial SSU rRNA". It matches the Rfam family "Bacterial small subunit ribosomal RNA", at positions 29 to 478 of the family's 1533-position model. The record is from RNAcentral.